CGGAGAAGAAACCCGACUCAAAUUGGCGGAGGAUCGCCUCAGCCAAUCCGCACUUCCAUCGGAGGUGGGUCUUCUAAUCGGCAAGUUCAGCUCCGCUUUGGGUCGCGCCUUCAUCUUUGAUUUGGUUCCCACCCCACUUCUACCACAAUCACUCAGUAUUUCGACGCACUCAAGGUGUUGGUUUCAACCCUUUCUUUUAUCUUCCUAAAAUGAAGCAUUCAAGGUAAGCACUGUGUUGGUAGGUAUUGGAGUGAGAGAGGACAAUCGAAGACUAACGUGAGAUGAAUCAGGCCCAACAGCUUGGCAUCGUGUACCCAGCAGGAACGACCCACUAGACAGUGCUGCUGGAGGGCGU
RNAcentral lists this small RNA (355 nucleotides) under Vigna angularis var. angularis. RNAcentral's name for it is "Non-protein coding transcript". Lineage: Eukaryota; Viridiplantae; Streptophyta; Magnoliopsida; Fabales; Fabaceae. The record is from RNAcentral.